RNAcentral lists this long non-coding RNA (914 nucleotides) under Capsicum annuum. RNAcentral describes it as "long non-coding RNA (CANN_LNC022146)". The record is from RNAcentral. Lineage: Eukaryota; Viridiplantae; Streptophyta; Magnoliopsida; Solanales; Solanaceae.
UCAGAUCGUAUUCCACCGGACAUACUCGGAUCAAUAGCAUCACGUCUCGUUGUUGGUGAAUACUUUGUUUUUCGUGUCGUUUGUAAACAAUGGCGGCUAGCGCCCUUGAAUACAUGAUGAUUUGCAAUUGCCUUAUUUGAUGACCUUACAUGAAAAAACCGGUAUUGUAGAGUUCUUUGAUCCUGUGUAUAACGUGGUGACUACUCACAAUCCGGGUAUCUCAAAAUUAAAGGGUUCCCGAAUUCGGAGUUGAAAAGCUGGUUGGUUACUCAUGAGUCAUGGCAAUCGCGGUAUGUUCUUUUUCAAUCCUAUCGACAAUGACAUAAUUGAACUCCCUGAUCUAGAGCAAAGAGAAAAUAUUUGCUCUUGUUGGACAUUUUCGUGCCCUCCCGACUCAGAAGGCUGUUUUGUCGUUGGUUUUGACACCUAUGGUACCCCUCCAGAUAUAUACAUCAUCAAAGUUGGAGAGACUACAUGGACAUAUCAUUAUUCCAAUGAUAUAGAAUAUACAGAAUAUGGAUAUAACGAAAGAAUAUUUGAAUUACACGGAUGCAAUAAUGCGGUUUUUAUAAAGAAAAAUAUUAUAUACAUACUGGGAGAUAAAGGAAAUUUGGCAACACUGAGCAUCAACGAAAAGUCAACUACAGAGGUACCUACUUGGAAAUUUUAUGGGAAGCUAUUUCGGUGUCGACGUCGAAAAUUUUAUGGGAAGCUCUUUCGGUGUCGACGUCGAAAACAAAAUUCAAUUCAACGAAUUUACAUCGUAGAAGAUACUGACGAUGAGGGAAUGUUCGCCGUAUUUUUAUGUCACGAAGAAGGGGAGGUAGAGGUUUGGAGAUACACAAUAAAUAAUGGAUGGAAGGGAGAAAGUAACAAGUUUGAAGAAUAAAACAUUGUUCGUGAGCAAUGGAGGG